This 400-nucleotide ribosomal RNA is filed under the name uncultured bacterium. RNAcentral describes it as "partial 16S ribosomal RNA". It matches the Rfam family "Bacterial small subunit ribosomal RNA", at positions 360 to 774 of the family's 1533-position model. The record is from RNAcentral.
AAUAUUGCGCAAUGGGGGAAACCCUGACGCAGCGACGCCGCGUGAGUGAAGAAGGCCUUCGGGUUGUAAAACUCUGUCCUCAGGGAAGAAGUAAGUGACGGUACCUGAGGAGGAAGCCCCGGCUAACUACGUGCCAGCAGCCGCGGUAACACGUAGGGGGCGAGCGUUGUCCGGAAUUACUGGGCGUAAAGGGUACGUAGGCGGCUAUAUAAGUCAGGUGUGAAAUACCAGUGCUUAACACUGGAAUUGCAUUUGAAACUGUGUAGCUUGAGUGCAGGAGAGGAAAGUGGAAUUCCUAGUGUAGCGGUGAAAUGCGUAGAGAUUAGGAGGAACACCAGUGGCGAAGGCGACUUUCUGGACUGUAACUGACGCUGAGGUACGAAAGCGUGGGUAGCGAACA